CGGAGGGAAACCGAGUCUUAACCGGGCGUUAAGUUGCAGGGUAUAGACCCGAAACCCGGUGAUCUAGCCAUGGGCAGGUUGAAGGUUGGGUAACACUAACUGGAGGACCGAACCGACUAAUGUUGAAAAAUUAGCGGAUGACCUGUGGCUGGGGGUGAAAGGCCAAUCAAACCGGGAGAUAGCUGGUUCUCCCCGAAAGCUAUUUAGGUAGCGCCUCGUGAAUUCAUCUCCGGGGGUAGAGCACUGUUUCGGCUAGGGGGCCAUCCCGGCUUACCAACCCGAUGCAAACUGCGAAUACCGGAGAAUGUUAUCACGGGAGACACACGGCGGGUGCUAACGUCCGUCGUGAAGAGGGAAACAACCCAGACCGCCAGCUAAGGUCCCAAAGUCAUGGUUAAGUGGGAAACGAUGUGGGAAGGCCCAGACAGCCAGGAUGUUGGCUUAGAAGCAGCCAUCAUUUAAAGAAAGCGUAAUAGCUCACUGGUCGAGUCGGCCUGCGCGGAAGAUGUAACGGGGCUAAACCAUGCACCGAAGCUGCGGCAGCGACACUAUGUGUUGUUGGGUAGGGGAGCGUUCUGUAAGCCUGCGAAGGUGGCCUGUGAGGGUUGCUGGAGGUAUCAGAAGUGCGAAUGCUGACAUAAGUAACGAUAAAGCGGGUGAAAAGCCCGCUCGCCGGAAGACCAAGGGUUCCUGUCCAACGUUAAUCGGGGCAGGGUGAGUCGACCCCUAAGGCGAGGCCGAAAGGCGUAGUCGAUGGGAAACGGGUUAAUAUUCCCGUACUUGGUGUUACUGCGAAGGGGGGACGGAGAAGGCUAUGUUGGCCGGGCGACGGUUGUCCCGGUUUAAGCGUGUAGGUGUGUGUUCCAGGUAAAUCCGGUU
Molecule: ribosomal RNA, 879 nt
Filed under: Salmonella enterica
Lineage: Bacteria; Pseudomonadati; Pseudomonadota; Gammaproteobacteria; Enterobacterales; Enterobacteriaceae
Description: partial 23S ribosomal RNA
Rfam family: Bacterial large subunit ribosomal RNA
Source: RNAcentral